UGGGGAAUUUGGACAAUGGGCGAAAGCCUGAUCCAGCAAUGCCGCGUGUGUGAAGAAGGCCUUCGGGUUGUAAAGCACUUUUGUCCGGAAAGAAAUCCUUGGCUCUAAUACAGUCGGGGGAUGACGGUACCGGAAGAAUAAGCACCGGCUAACUACGUGCCAGCAGCCGCGGUAAUACGUAGGGUGCAAGCGUUAAUCGGAAUUACUGGGCGUAAAGCGUGCGCAGGCGGUUUGCUAAGACCGAUGUGAAAUCCCCGGGCUCAACCUGGGAACUGCAUUGGUGACUGGCAGGCUAGAGUAUGGCAGAGGGGGGUAGAAUUCCACGUNUAGCAGUGAAAUGCGUAGAGAUGUGGAGGAAUACCGAUGGCGAAGGCAGCCCCCUGGGCAAAUACUGACGCUCAUGCACGAAAGCGUGGGGAGCAAACAGGAUUAGAUACCCUGGUAGUCCACGCCCUAAACGAUGUCAACUAGUUGUUGGGGAUUCAUUUCCUUAGUAACGUAGCUAACGCGUGAAGUUGACCGCCUGGGGAGUAC
This 534-nucleotide ribosomal RNA is filed under the name uncultured bacterium. RNAcentral's name for it is "partial 16S ribosomal RNA". It matches the Rfam family "Bacterial small subunit ribosomal RNA", at positions 356 to 883 of the family's 1533-position model. The record is from RNAcentral.